This 274-nucleotide ribosomal RNA is filed under the name uncultured bacterium. Its description in RNAcentral is "partial 16S ribosomal RNA". It matches the Rfam family "Bacterial small subunit ribosomal RNA", at positions 523 to 796 of the family's 1533-position model. The record is from RNAcentral.
AUACAGAGGGUGCGAGCGUUAAUCGGAAUUACUGGGCGUAAAGCGCGCGUAGGCGGCUACUUAAGUCAGAUGUGAAAUCCCCGGGCUCAACCUGGGAACUGCAUCUGAUACUGGGUAGCUAGAGUUUAGGAGAGGGAAGUAGAAUUUCAGGUGUAGCGGUGAAAUGCAUAGAGAUCUGAAGGAAUACCAGUGGCGAAGGCGACUUCCUGGCCUAAAACUGACGCUGAGGUGCGAAAGCGUGGGUAGCAAACGGGAUUAGAAACCCCAGUAGUCC